GUUAUGAUCCAGACGGACCCGGAGAGAAGGGCCGCCCUGGCCUGGAUCACACUGUGCCGAGCCUGGCAUCCCCGGGCACCCAGAGCUCACCCCUAGACGCAGUGCAGGAGACCCAGGUUUGAUCCCUGGGUUGGGAAGAUCCCCUGGAGAAGGAAAUGGCAGCCCACUCCAGUAUUCUUGCCUGGAGAAUCCCAUGGAUGGAGGAGCCUGGUGGGUUACAGUCCACGGGGUCGCAAAGAGUCGGAUACAACUGAGAGACUUCACUUUCACUUUCUUUCACAGGACGGAAGGGAGCGCCGUGCCCCCCACAGCAAGGGGCAGGGGGAGGCCCAGGAGAGACCCCGUCCCGAGCCGGGGAGAGGGAGGCAGCCUGAGGGCCUGGGCGCAUCCUGGCUCCUCCAAUUCCUGCCGCCGGUCCUCAGACGGGACACCCAGCUCGCCGUCUCCCGAAGGACACGCUCGUCUUCCUCUCGGGCGGUGGGGGCUUCAGGCUGCAGCUGGUUCCCCAGAUGGCAGCUCGCCCACCUUCCUGUGGGAAACCUGACUGGAGACACAGGCGCCUGGCUCACGCGGAGCCCGCAGAGGGCGGUGUGAGCGGAGGCUUCCCCACAGGAGCCCCAGCGCCAGCCCUGCGUGGCAGGCAGGACAGCCCCCCGCUGGACGCCCACCUCCUACUCUCCCAAACCUGAGACUCGGGUCACGCUGCAACAGGAGCUACGGCGGAAGGUGGACCCAGUGGCUGAGAUGGGAAACGACCCUGGAUUAUCCCGGCGGCUCCAGUGUGAUCGGAAGGAAACCUCACGGUGGAGGGGGGACGGGAGAGCCAGUGUCUGUGACUCAGCGUGAGAGAGGCCAUCGCUGGCUGUGGACGGAUGGAGGGGCCGUGAGCCAAGGAAUGCGGGUGGUCUCCAGAAGGUGGGAAAGGCAGGAAGCGGGUUCUCCCCCCCUGGAGCCUCUGGAAGGACGCAGCGCUGCUGACACGUCAACCACAGCCUCGGGAGACCCCUGUGGACCCCUGACCCCCAGACUGUAGGGUAAUAAAUGUGUGUUGUUUUAAGCCA
Molecule: long non-coding RNA, 1061 nt
Filed under: Bos indicus x Bos taurus (hybrid cattle)
Lineage: Eukaryota; Metazoa; Chordata; Mammalia; Artiodactyla; Bovidae
Description: lncRNA (ENSBIXG00000011352.1)
Source: RNAcentral